AUAGCCUCAGUAACGGCGAGUGAAGCGGCUACAGCUCAAAUUUGAAAUCUGGCCUCCUUUGGGGGUCCGAGUUGUAAUUUGCAGAGGAUGCUUUGGCAUUGGCGGCGGUCUAAGUUCCUUGGAACAGGACAUCGCAGAGGGUGAGAAUCCCGUACGUGGGCGCCUGCCUUUGCCGUGUAAAGCUCCUUCGACGAGUCGAGUUGUUUGGGAAUGCAGCUCUAAAUGGGAGGUAAAUUUCUCCUAAAGCUAAAUACCGGCCAGAGACCGAUAGCGCACAAGUAGAGUGAUCGAAAGAUGAAAAGUACUUUGGAAAGAGAGUCAAAUAGCACGUGAAAUUGUUGAAAGGGAAGCGCUUGCAGCCAGACUUGCCCGCAGUUGCUCACCUAGGCUUUCGCCUGGGGCACUCUUCUGCGGGCAGGCCAGCAUCAGUUUGGGCGGUCGGAUAAAGGCCUCUGUCAUGUACCACCCCUCGGGGUGGCCUUAUAGGGGAGGCGUAAUGCGACCAGCCCGGACUGAGGUCCGCGCAUCUGCUAGGAUGCUGGCGUAAUGGCUGUAAGCGGCCCGUCUUGAAACACGGACCAAGGAGUCUAACAUCUAUGCGAGUGUUUGGGUGUCAAGCCCGGGCGCGCAAUGAAAGUGAACGGAGGUGGGAACCCUUCGGGGUGCACCAUCGACCGAUCCUGAAGUCUUCGGAUGGAUUUGAGUAAGAGCAUAGCUGUUGGGACCCGAAAGAUGGUGAACUAUGCUUGAAUAGGGUGAAGCCAGAGGAAACUCUGGUGGAGGCUCGCAGCGGUUCUGACGUGCAAAUCGAUCGUCAAAUUUGG
This 824-nucleotide ribosomal RNA is filed under the name Pseudopithomyces kunmingensis. RNAcentral describes it as "eukaryotic LSU rRNA". It matches the Rfam family "Eukaryotic large subunit ribosomal RNA", at positions 74 to 914 of the family's 3401-position model. Lineage: Eukaryota; Fungi; Ascomycota; Dothideomycetes; Pleosporales; Didymosphaeriaceae. The record is from RNAcentral.